This 403-nucleotide ribosomal RNA is filed under the name uncultured bacterium. RNAcentral's name for it is "bacterial SSU rRNA". It matches the Rfam family "Bacterial small subunit ribosomal RNA", at positions 355 to 774 of the family's 1533-position model. The record is from RNAcentral.
UAGGGAAUAUUGCAAAAUGGGCGAAAGCCCGAUGCAGCAACGCCGCGUGGGCGAUGAAGGCCUUCGGGUCGUAAAGCCCUUUUUGAGGGGAUGAGGAAGGACAGUACCCUCGGAAUAAGCCUCGGCUAACUACGUGCCAGCAGCCGCGGUAAAACGUAGGAGGCGAGCGUUAUCCGGAUUUACUGGGCGUAAAGCGCGUGCAGGCGGAUUGGAGAGUUGGAUGUGAAAGCUCCCGGCUUAACUGGGAGAGGUCGUUCAAUACUUCCAGUCUUGAGUGCAGUAGAGGGAAGUGGAAUUCCGGGUGUAGUGGUGAAAUGCGUAGAUAUCCGGAGGAACACCAGUGGCGAAAGCGGCUUCCUGGACUGUAACUGACGCUCAGACGCGAAAGCUAGGGUAGCAAACG